GGAAAUAAAAGUCGUAACAAGGUCUCCGUUGGUGAACCAGCGGAGGGAUCAUUACAGGACUCGCAAGACUCCUACAACCCUGUGAACUUAACUAUAAGCACGUUGCUUCGGCGGGUGUCUCGGAGGGGGUUCUCCCUCCCCGAGACGCUAAACCCGCCGGCAGCCUACUAUACUCUGUCUCUUUGCGUUGGCAUCUCGAGUACAAUCAAACAAGUUAAAACUUUCAACAACGGAUCUCUUGGUUCUG
This 247-nucleotide unclassified non-coding RNA is filed under the name plant metagenome. RNAcentral's name for it is "partial contains small subunit ribosomal RNA, internal transcribed spacer 1, and 5.8S ribosomal RNA". The stretch from base 1 to 54 matches the Rfam family "Eukaryotic small subunit ribosomal RNA", at positions 1778 to 1831 of the family's 1831-position model. The record is from RNAcentral.